Molecule: non-coding RNA, 200 nt
Organism: Pseudonaja textilis
Lineage: Eukaryota; Metazoa; Chordata; Lepidosauria; Squamata; Elapidae
Source: RefSeq, a predicted model, not a curated record
GGAAUGGAGAAGCAAACAACUUGGCUUAAGAGAGAAGAAGUGGCCAUGAUCCCCCUCAUUAGUCGCAGCUGGAAAAUAGUAUAUAAGAGGGACAGUUAAAACACAGCGUUACCAGAAGCAAAGCAUGUUUUAUUUUGGGCUGAAGUUAUCUUGGUUGGUGUCCUUCUAACAGACUGUUUUUCCUGUAUCUCCUUGAAGUU